Arabidopsis thaliana (thale cress) is the source of this 182-nucleotide non-coding RNA. The record is from Rfam. NCBI's taxonomy places the organism in Eukaryota, Viridiplantae, Streptophyta, Magnoliopsida, Brassicales, Brassicaceae.
AUCGUUGACACGGCCAAAUCGACUCACCAUUAACACUUCUUAACAGCUCUCCUAACAGCGUAACUAACAACUGUUUUUGUCCUUAAACCAACGAUAACGGCUGUUAGGCCAUGUUUUGUAACGGCUGUUAGGAGCGCUGUUAAGGAGUGUUAACGGUGAGUCUAUUUGGCUGGGUCAACGAU